CCUGUAAUCCCAGCUACUCAGGAGGCUGAGGCAGGAGAAUCGCUUGAACCCGAGAGGCGGAGGUUGCGGUGAGCCGAGAUCGUGCCAUUGCACUCCAGCUUGGGCAACAAGAGUGAAACUCGGUCUCAAAAAAAAAAAAGUUAUGAUGGGAAUCCAGAACAAUGGAUCUAUGGACCCUUCUCUAAGAAGUGAGGAAAGGUAAGGUUUCAUUAAAGUUAGCUUUAGUAUUGAUAAUACACUAUAUGGAACUAAAAUUUGAUUUUCUCUUUUGAGUAAGAAUUUUGUAUAGUUUGUUUUUUUUUUUUUUACAGAGUCUUGCUCUGUUGCCAAGGCUGGAGUGCCAUGGCAUGAUCUCAGCUCACUGCAACCUGCACCCCCUGGGUUCAAGCGAUUCUCCUGCCUCAGUCUCCCAAGUAGCUGGGAUUACAGGCAUGCACCACCAUGCUCAGCUAAUUUUUGGUAGAGAUGGGGUUUCACCACAUUGGCCAGGCUGGUCUUGAACUCCUGACCUCAAGUGAUCUGCCUGCCUCGGCCUCCCAAAGUGCUGGGAUUACAGGUGUGAGCCACCAAACCCAGCCUGUGUAGGAUUAAUAAGAGAUAGUAAAAUAUUUUUGUUUAUCUUUGAGUAAACUGCAAAAAAAAAAAAAAAAAAAGGAAGAGAAGAGACAGAUUCUAUCUCAGGCUGUCUUUAUUAGGUCUUUUGAUUGUUAGAAAAACAGACUUUUCUAUCAAAGAAUAAAGGUUUUUGCUUUUUAAAACCUUUUAAUUAUCACUUUGGCUAAAUAAAUAUUAUUUUACAGUGAUCUGUGAUCCUAUUUUUGUUGCUUGUUUGUUUGUUUUUGAGAUGGAGUCUCACUCUGUCGCCCAGACUGGAGUGCAGUGGCAAGAACUCAGCUUACUGCAAACUGCCUCCCAGGCUCAGCUAUUCUCCCACCUCAGCCUCCCAAGUAUCUGGGAUUACAGGCACUCACCACCACACCUAGCUAAUUUUUGUAUUUUUAGUAGAGAUGAGGUUUCGGCAUGUUGGCCAGGCUGGUCUCGAACUCCUGACCUCAGGUGAU
Molecule: long non-coding RNA, 1061 nt
Filed under: Homo sapiens (human)
Lineage: Eukaryota; Metazoa; Chordata; Mammalia; Primates; Hominidae
Description: HSALNT0303955
Source: RNAcentral